Molecule: unclassified non-coding RNA, 230 nt
Filed under: plant metagenome
Description: partial contains small subunit ribosomal RNA and internal transcribed spacer 1
Rfam family: Eukaryotic small subunit ribosomal RNA (bases 1-46)
Source: RNAcentral
AAGUCGUAACAAGGUUUCCGUAGGUGAACCUGCGGAAGGAUCAUUACCUUUCAAUGCAGAAGUAUCAGGCAAGUUAGUUGCUCUUGCAACGAAAUUUGCUCAAUGCCUCCUGUGUUAUAUACCCUUGUCUCUCAAAUACUAUUUGUUUCCUCGGCGGGCUUGCCUGCCGGUUGGAUAAAACUAUAACCUUUUUAAUUUCAAUCAGCGUCUGAAUAAAUUAAUAAUUACAA